AUAUAUGGAGUGGGUUCCCGCAUAGCAGCGACUUCCCGGAUGAGCACUUGCCCGGUAGACCAGCUCAUUGGCGAUCUUUCCGCGCGAAAAGUGACAUAGGACACCGUACUGAUAGAGUCCGCUCGUUUGGCCUUUUCGCAGCAUCAUGGCACAGCCGACAUGGGCAGCCAAAUCUUGGACCAGCUGGGUGAAGUAGCCGCGACACUGUCUGCAAUCGUGGAUUAGAUAUACAUCAACCUCUUGAAUCUCUCACUCUCACCCAUCCUUGGCCGGUUUCUCGGCAUUGAUGUGGGCCAUCGUGCAGCCCUUAACAUCAUCCAUCCAAAACUGCAAGACAAAGUCCAAAACGGAUAUGGGAUCCUUCUCCAGUUGCAACCACUUGGUACUGCCAUAUAUAUACGACACAUAGCUGAACUCAUCCGUAUUGCUGCAGUAAUCGUCUAUAUAGUCACAACGCCUCAAGGCAAACUUGGCCAACCCGGCCAGUUCCUCGUGCCACCGGAGUGUUGCCAUCCGGGAAGCUGGACGCAAGUGCGGAUACUGACCCUUAGCCACGGUAUUCCGAAAAUCGUUUAGGACGGCCAGGAGAUGGGCACGCAUGUGCAUGGGAAACUUCAUGAUGAUCGCUUCACUGCCACAACUCUCGUCAAAGUCCUGCGAAACUCAGACAGUUACUGAGCAACUUGAUGGGAAGCCAAACUUACGCCAUAAUUGCGGCAAGCGAUAUGCGUUAUUUCCGGCAGACACAGAUCCUUGUUGCAGUAAUCCGUAGAUAACGCCUCCUGGCUGAUAAGGACUAUUAUAAGGACUGAAAGAAGGUACAACAUCUGGUGCCGAUUGCUGGAGUCAAAAUACAAAACUAUUUUGAAGAAAACUGAUCUAUCUAUACAGCGUAAAAUCCAUUGUAACUGCCUAAAUGCAGCGUGACAAUUCUAUAAUAUAUAGAGCUAUUACUAGUUUUAUUUCCAACAGACAGCCAUAUUCAACAAGGAAUCCAAAAAGCUAGAAGGUUAUUAUUAAGAUAUAAAAUUUACAAUAUGUGUAAAACAUUGGAAUUUCGCAUGACUCAAUUAAAUCAAGGUAAUAAAAACAUAAAACAUAAUUGCGCAUCUCAACUAAGAAAAUAAUAAAUAAAAACUUUCGAUUGGAAUGUAAAU
Drosophila melanogaster (fruit fly) is the source of this 1157-nucleotide non-coding RNA. The record is from Ensembl. NCBI's taxonomy places the organism in Eukaryota, Metazoa, Arthropoda, Insecta, Diptera, Drosophilidae.